This 95-nucleotide ribosomal RNA is filed under the name uncultured bacterium. RNAcentral's name for it is "partial 16S ribosomal RNA". It matches the Rfam family "Bacterial small subunit ribosomal RNA", at positions 1388 to 1482 of the family's 1533-position model. The record is from RNAcentral.
CACCGCCCGUCACAUCAUGAAAGCCGUUUGUACCCGAAGUCAUCACGCUAACCGCAAGGAAGCCGGUGCCGAAGGUAUGGAUGGUGAUUGGGAUG